UGCCAAGGUCCGAACGGUAACAUUGUCUAGCUUGCUAUGAAGAUGACGAGUGGCGGACGGGUGAGUAAUGCUUGGGAACUUGCCUUUGCGAGGGGGAUAACAGUUGGAAACGACUGCUAAUACCGCAUAAUGUCUACGGACCAAACGGGGCUUAGGCUCCGGCGCAAAGAGAGGCCCAAGUGAGAUUAGCUAGUUGGUAAGGUAAUGGCUUACCAAGGCAACGAUCUCUAGCUGUUCUGAGAGGAAGAUCAGCCACACUGGAACUGAGACACGGUCCAGACUCCUACGGGAGGCAGCAGUGGGGAAUAUUGCACAAUGGGGGAAACCCUGAUGCAGCCAUGCCGCGUGUGUGAAGAAGGCCUUCGGGUUGUAAAGCACUUUCAGUUGUGAGGAAAAGUUAGUAGUUAAUACCUGCUAGCCGUGACGUUAACAACAGAAGAAGCACCGGCUAACUCCGUGCCAGCAGCCGCGGUAAUACGGAGGGUGCGAGCGUUAAUCGGAAUUACUGGGCGUAAAGCGCACGCAGGCGGUUUGUUAAGCUAGAUGUGAAAGCCCCGGGCUCAACCUGGGAUAGUCAUUUAGAACUGGCAGACUAGAGUCUUGGAGAGGGGAGUGGAAUUCCAGGUGUAGCGGUGAAAUGCGUAGAUAUCUGGAGGAACAUCAGUGGCGAAGGCGACUCCCUGGCCAAAGACUGACGCUCAUGUGCGAAAGUGUGGGUAGCGAACAGGAUUAGAUACCCUGGUAGUCCACACCGUAAACGCUGUCUACUAGCUGUUUGUGACUUUAAGUCGUGAGUAGCGAAGCUAACGCGCUAAGUAGACCGCCUGGGGAGUACGGCCGCAAGGUUAAAACUCAAAUGAAUUGACGGGGGCCCGCACAAGCGGUGGAGCAUGUGGUUUAAUUCGAUGCAACGCGAAGAACCUUACCUACACUUGACAUGCUGAGAACUUUCCAGAGAUGGAUUGGUGCCUUCGGGAACUCAGACACAGGUGCUGCAUGGCUGUCGUCAGCUCGUGUCGUGAGAUGUUGGGUUAAGUCCCGCAACGAGCGCAACCCUUGUCCUUAGUUGCCAGCCUUAAGUUGGGCACUCUAAGGAGACUGCCGGUGACAAACCGAAGGAAGGUGGGGACGACGUCAAGUCAUCAUGGCCCUUACGUGUAGGGCUACACACGUGCUACAAUGGCAUUUACAGAGGGAAACCAGACAUUGAUUUGGA
RNAcentral lists this ribosomal RNA (1216 nucleotides) under Alteromonas sp. RNAcentral's name for it is "bacterial SSU rRNA". It matches the Rfam family "Bacterial small subunit ribosomal RNA", at positions 56 to 1266 of the family's 1533-position model. The record is from RNAcentral. Lineage: Bacteria; Pseudomonadati; Pseudomonadota; Gammaproteobacteria; Alteromonadales; Alteromonadaceae.